AUGGGCAGGACCUGGCCUACCGCCUCGCGCAGGGCGUCUCGGGGCUGCUCCUCCACCUCCACGUGCAGACGUCGUAGCUCCCGUGGCCCGCCCCGCCGCUCAAGCUCCUCCCCUUCAACAUCGAGCUCCCCGCUGCCCCCUUUGCGGUCGGCGUCGACCUCCCGGCCGUGGCCGUCACGUCCUUCAUGGAGAUCGGCGGCCGGCUCGGGCAGGCCGGGUCCGACCUUGGCGCCUCCGUCGGCGGCGCCGUGCAGCAGCUACCACGGCAACUUCCCGCGUCGUUCCGCACGUGGCACCAGAAGUGGGAGGGGGGCCGCCGCGCCGCUAACGCCUGCCGCGGCGGUGGACAAGGGGGAAGCGAGGCUUGCCACGGAGAGGGCUCCCGAGGGCGGGGUAGCCUUGGAGGGCGUCGGGGAAGGAGGCUCGGGUCGGGUCGGUCUCCGAUUCAAAACUACCUUAUAUAGGGGCUUGCCAAUUGUAUAUAUAUAUAUAUAUAUAUAUAUAUAUAUAUAUAUAUAUAUACAAUAG
Molecule: ribosomal RNA, 528 nt
Filed under: Triticum aestivum (bread wheat)
Lineage: Eukaryota; Viridiplantae; Streptophyta; Magnoliopsida; Poales; Poaceae
Description: partial small subunit ribosomal RNA
Source: RNAcentral